AUUGAACGCUGGCGGAAUGCUUUACACAUGCAAGUCGAACGGCAGCACGGACUUCGGUCUGGUGGCGAGUGGCGAAUGGGUGAGUAAUGUAUCGGAACGUGCCCAGUCGUGGGGGAUAACGUAGUGAAAAUUACGCUAAUACCGCAUCCGAUCUAUGGAUGAAAGCGGGAGAUCGCAAGACCUCGCGCGAUUGUAGCGGCCGAUAUCAGAUUAGGUAGUUGGCGGGGUAAAGGCCCACCAAGGCUUCGAUCAGUAGCUGGUCUGAGAGGAUGAUCGGCCACACUGGAAAUGAGACACGGCCCAGACUCCUACGGGAGGCAGCAGUGGGGAAUUUUGGACAAUGGGGGCAACCCUGAUCCAGCCAUUCCGCGUGAGUGAAGAAGGCCUUCGGGUUGUAAAGCUCUUUUGUCCGGGAAGAAACGGUUUUGGCUAAUAACCAAGACUACUGACGGUACCGGAAGAAUAAGGACCGGCUAACUACGUGCCAGCAGCCGCCAUAA
This 500-nucleotide ribosomal RNA is filed under the name uncultured bacterium. RNAcentral describes it as "partial 16S ribosomal RNA". It matches the Rfam family "Bacterial small subunit ribosomal RNA", at positions 30 to 523 of the family's 1533-position model. The record is from RNAcentral.